GGGUGUGAUCAUACCAACGUUAAUGUACCAGAUCCCAUCGGAACUCCGCAGUUAAGCACGAUUGUGCUAGAUUAGUUGAUCCAGAUGGAUAUCAGUGGCCACCCACC
Non-coding RNA from Picea glauca (white spruce), 107 nucleotides. The record is from Rfam. Lineage: Eukaryota; Viridiplantae; Streptophyta; Pinopsida; Pinales; Pinaceae.